Long non-coding RNA from Leptidea sinapis, 3282 nucleotides. RefSeq lists it as uncharacterized. The record is from RefSeq and is a predicted model, not a curated record. The transcript is spliced from 14 exons. NCBI's taxonomy places the organism in Eukaryota, Metazoa, Arthropoda, Insecta, Lepidoptera, Pieridae.
CGUCUGUGAGCUCUUGGACAAUACCAUCUUUUCCUUUGACAUUGCGUUUUGUUGUUUUUGUCUUACGAAUGUCACCAGUUUCUGUUUUUGUCUCCGUGAUUACGACUGUUUCUGGAGUGUCUUCAACAGAGUCUGCAAAAUCCGGCCGAGGUGUCUCCUCUAAUGGGGUUGUUGUUUCGUGUACGGUAGUGUUUGUGGUGUCAGGUGUCGAGAUAUGUUUAGUUUUCUUAGUGCGCUUUUUGACGGUUUUAGUGAUGACCUUACCUUCGGGUGUUUCAACGAUUUCUUCAACAAUUGGCUCCUCAGUAAGUUCGACGUCUUCUUUUGGGCUUUCUGUAACCUGUUCCUCUGUGAGCUCUUGGACAACACCAUCUUUUCCUUUAACCUUGCGUUUUGUUGUUUUUGUCUUACGAAUGUCACCAGUUUCUGUUUUUGUUUCCGUGAUUACGACUGUAUCUGGAGUGUCUUCAACAGCGUCUGCAAAAUCCAGCCGAGGUGUCUCCUCUAAUGGGGUUGUUGUUUCGUCUCUUAUGUGUUCUAUUUCGUGUACGGUAGUGUCAGUGGUGUCAGGUAUCGAGAUAUGUUUAGUUUUCUUAGUGCGCUUUUUGACAGUUUUAGUGAUGAACUUACCUUCGGGAGUCUCAAUGAUUUCUUCAACAUCUGGUUCCUCAGUUAUUUCAACGUCUUCUUGUGGGCCUUCUGUUACCUCCACCUUUGUGACUUCCUGGACGAUGCCAUCUUUUCCUUUGACCUUGCGUUUUGUUGUUUUUGUCUUUCGAAUCUUACCAGUUUCUGUUUUUGUCUCCGUGACUUCCACUGUUUCAGGCGUGUCUUCAACAAUAUCGGCAAAGUCCAGCUGAGGUUUUUCCUCUAAUGGGGUGGUUUUUUCGUCUUUUAUUGGUUCAAUUUCAUGCACAGUAGUGUCAGUCGUGUCAGGUGUCGUGAUAGAUUUAGUUUUCUUUGUGCGUUUUUUGACAGUUUUAGUGAUGAUCUUACCUUCGGGUGUCUCAACAAUUUCUUCAACAACUGGUUCCUCAGUUAUUUCAACGUCUUCUUGUGGGCCUUCUGUUACCUCCACCUCUGUGACCUCCUGGACGACGCCAUCUUUUCCUUUGACCUUGCGUUUUGUUGUUUUUGUCUUUCGAAUCUCACCAGUUUCUGUUUUUGUCUCCGUGACUUCCACUGUUUCAGGCGUGUCUUCAACAACGUCUGCAAUGUCCAGCUGAGGUGUCUCUUCUAAUGGGGUGGUUGUUUCGUCUUUUAUUGGUUCCAUUUCAUGUACAUUAGUGUCAGUCGUGUCAGGUGUCGUGAUAGAUUUAGUUUUCUUAGUUCGUUUUUUGAAAGUUUUAGUAAUGAUCUUACCUUCGGGUGUCUCAACAAUUUCUUCAACAACUGGUUCCUCAGUUAUUUCAACGUCUUCUUGUGGGCCUUCUGUUACCUCCACCUCUGUGACCUCCUGGACGACGCCAUCUUUUCCUUUGACCUUGCGUUUUGUUGUUUUUGUCUUUCGAAUCUCACCAGUUUCUGUUUUUGUCUCCGUGACUUCCACUGUUUCAGGCGUGUCUUCAACAACGUCAGCAAUGUCCAGCUGAGGUGUCUCUUCUAAUGGGGUGGUUGUUUCGUCUUUUAUUGGUUCAAUUUCAUGCACAGUUGUGUCAGUCGUGUCAGGUGUAGUGAUAGAUUUAGUUUUCUUAGUGCGCUUUUUGACAGUUUUAGUGAUGAUCUUACCUUCGGGUGUUUCAACGAUUUCUUCAACAACUGGUUCCUCAGUUAUUUCGACAAUGCCUUGUGGGCCUUCUGUUACCUCCACCUCUGUGACCUCCUGGACGACGCCAUCUUUUCCUUUGACCUUGCGCUUUGUUGUUUUUGUCUUUCGAAUCUCACCAGUUUCUGUUCGUGUCUCCGUGAUUUCAACUGUUUCUGGCGUGUCUGCAACAACGUCUGCAAAGUCUAGCUGAGAUGUGUCCUCUAAUGGGUUGGUUGUUUCGUCUUUUGUUUGCUCAAUUUCGUGUACGGUAGUGUCAGUGGUGUCAGGUAUCGAGAUAUGUUUAGUUUUUUUGGUGCGCUUUUUGACAGUUUUAGUGAUGAUCUUACCUUCGGGCGUCUCAACAAUUUCUUCAACAACUGGUUCCUCAGUUAUUUCAACGUCUACUUGUGGGCCUUCUGUUACCUCCACCUUUGUGACUUCCUGGACGACGCCAUCUUUUCCUUUGACCUUGCGUUUUGUUGUUUUUGUCUUUUGAAUCUCACCAGUUUCUGUUUUUGUCUCCUUGAUUUCGACGGUUUCUGGCGUGUCUUCAACAACGUCUGCAAUGUCCAGCUGAGGUGUAUCUUCUAAUGGGGUGGUUGUUUCGUCUUUUAUUGGUUCAAUUUCAUGCACAGUAGUGUCAGUCGUGUCAGGUGUCGUGAUAGAUUUAGUUUUCUUAGUUCGUUUUUUGAAAGUUUUAGUAAUGAUCUUACCUUCGGGUGUUUCAACGAUUUCUUCAACAACUGGUUCCUCAGUUAUUUCGACAACUUCUUGUGGGCCUUCUGUUACCUCAACCUCUGUGACCUCCGGGACGACGCCAUCUUUUCCUUUGACCUUGCGUUUUGUUGUUUUUGUCUUUAAAAUCUCACCAGUUACUGUUUGUGUCUCCGUGAUUUCGACUGUUUCAGGCGUGUCUUCAACAACGUCUGCAAUGUCCAGCUGAGGUGUCUCUUCUAAUGGGGUGGUUGUUUCGUCUUUUAUUGGUUCAAUUUCAUGUACAAAAGUGUCAGUCGUGUCAGGUGUCGUAAUAGAUUUAGUUUUCUUAGUGCGCUUUUUGACGGUUGUAGUGAUGAUCUUACCUUCGGGUGUUUCAACGAUUUCUUCAACAACUGGUUCCACCGAUGUUUCAACAAUGUCUUGUGGGCCCUCUGUUACCUCCACCUUUGUGACCUCCUGGACGACGCCAUCUUUUCCUUUGACCUUGCGUUUUGUAGUUUUUGUCUUUCGAAUCUCACCAGUUUCUGUUUUUGUCUCCGUGACUUCCACUCUUUCUGGCGUGUCUUCAACAACGUCUGCAAUGUCCAGCUGAGGUGUCUCUUCUAAUGGGGUGGUUGUUUCGUCUUUUAUUGGUUUAGUUUCAUGUACAAAAGUGUCAGUCGUGUCAGGUGUCGUAAUAGAUUUAGUUUUCUUAGUGCGCUUUUUGACGGUUGUAGUGAUGAUCUUACCUUCGGGUGUUUCAACGAUUUCUUCAAUAACUGGUUCCUCAGAUGUUUCGACAAAGUCUUGUGGGCCUUCUGUUACCUCUACCUCUGUGA